Molecule: ribosomal RNA, 159 nt
Filed under: Cladosporium sp. 8a_amb
Lineage: Eukaryota; Fungi; Ascomycota; Dothideomycetes; Cladosporiales; Cladosporiaceae
Also listed under: 1 other name
Description: 5.8S ribosomal RNA
Rfam family: 5.8S ribosomal RNA
About the family: 5.8S ribosomal RNA (5.8S rRNA) is a component of the large subunit of the eukaryotic ribosome. It is transcribed by RNA polymerase I as part of the 45S precursor that also contains 18S and 28S rRNA.
Source: RNAcentral
AAACUUUCAACAACGGAUCUCUUGGUUCGAUUGCAUCGAUGAAGAACGCAGCGAAAUGCGAUAAGUAAUGUGAAUUGCAGAAUUCAGUGAAUCAUCGAAUCUUUGAACGCACAUUGCGCCCCCUGGUAUUCCGGGGGGCAUGCCUGUUCGAGCGUCAUU